GAGUUUGAUCCUGGCUCAGGAUGAACGCUAGCGACAGGCUUAACACAUGCAAGUCGAGGGGCAGCGGUGGUGAAGGCUUGCCUUUACCAGCCGGCGACCGGCGCACGGGUGAGUAACACGUAUGCAACCUGCCUGCCACAGCCGGAUAAUCGGGAGAAAUUCCGUCUAAUACGGCAUAAUGCAUCGACGGGACAUCCUGUUGGUGCCAAAGGUUAAUUCCGGUGGCGGAUGGGCAUGCGUCGCAUUAGUUAGUUGGCGGUGUAACGGACCACCAAGACGACGAUGCGUAGGGGUUCUGAGAGGAAGGUCCCCCACACUGGUACUGAGACACGGACCAGACUCCUACGGGAGGCAGCAGUGAGGAAUAUUGGUCAAUGGGCGGGAGCCUGAACCAGCCAAGUCGCGUGAGGGAUGACGGCCCUAUGGGUUGUAAACCUCUUUUGCCGGGGAGCAAAGUGCCGCACGUGUGCGGUUUGGAGAGUACCCGGAGAAAAAGCAUCGGCUAACUCCGUGCCAGCAGCCGCGGUAAUACGGAGGAUGCGAGCGUUAUCCGGAUUUAUUGGGUUUAAAGGGUGCGUAGGCGGACGCUUAAGUCAGCGGUAAAAUUGCGGGGCUCAACCUCGUCGAGCCGUUGAAACUGGGUGCCUUGAGUGGGCGAGAAGUACGCGGAAUGCGUGGUGUAGCGGUGAAAUGCAUAGAUAUCACGCAGAACUCCGAUUGCGAAGGCAGCGUACCGGCGCCCAACUGACGCUGAAGCACGAAGGCGUGGGUAUCGAACAGGAUUAGAUACCCUGGUAGUCCACGCAGUAAACGAUGAAUGCUAGUUGUCCGGUUCUUUGGGACUGGGUGACACAGCGAAAGCGUUAAGCAUUCCACCUGGGGAGUACGCCGGCAACGGUGAAACUCAAAGGAAUUGACGG
This 920-nucleotide ribosomal RNA is filed under the name uncultured bacterium. RNAcentral describes it as "bacterial SSU rRNA". It matches the Rfam family "Bacterial small subunit ribosomal RNA", at positions 9 to 916 of the family's 1533-position model. The record is from RNAcentral.